This 326-nucleotide ribosomal RNA is filed under the name uncultured eukaryote. Its description in RNAcentral is "partial 18S ribosomal RNA". It matches the Rfam family "Eukaryotic small subunit ribosomal RNA", at positions 1470 to 1796 of the family's 1831-position model. The record is from RNAcentral.
CCCUUAGAUGUUCUGGGCCGCACGCGCGCUACACUGUUGCAUUCAACAAGCCUAGCCUUGACCGAGAGGUCCGGGUAAUCUUUGAAACUGCAUCGUGAUGGGGCUAGAUUAUUGCAAUUAUUAAUCUUCAACGAGGAAUGCCUAGUAAGCGUGAUUCAUCAAAUCGCGUUGAUUACGUCCCUGCCCUUUGUACACACCGCCCGUCGCUCCUACCGAUUGAAUGUGUUGGUGAGGAGCUCGGAUUGGCAGCAGUUGGUGGUUCGCCACCGGCUAUUGCUGAGAAGUCCUCCAAACCGCCCCAUUUAGAGGAAGGAGAAGUCGUANCA